This 447-nucleotide ribosomal RNA is filed under the name uncultured bacterium. Its description in RNAcentral is "bacterial SSU rRNA". It matches the Rfam family "Bacterial small subunit ribosomal RNA", at positions 329 to 793 of the family's 1533-position model. The record is from RNAcentral.
GGCCAGACUCCUACGGGAGGCAGCAGUGGGGGAUAUUGCACAAUGGGGGGAACCCUGAUGCAGCGACGCCGCGUGGGUGAAGAAGCGCCUCGGCGCGUAAAGCCCUGUCAGCAGGGAAGAAAAUGACGGUACCUGAAGAAGAAGCCCCGGCUAACUACGUGCCAGCAGCCGCGGUAAUACGUAGGGGGCAAGCGUUAUCCGGAUUUACUGGGUGUAAAGGGGGCGCAGACGGCGAUGCAAGCCAGGAGUGAAAGCCCGGGGCCCAACCCCGGGACUGCUCUUGGAACUGCGUGGCUGGAGUGCAGGAGGGGCAGGCGGAAUUCCUGGUGUAGCGGUGAAAUGCGUAGAUAUCAGGAGGAACACCGGUGGCGAAGGCGGCCUGCCGGACUGCAACUGACGUUGAGGCCCGAAAGCGUGGGGAGCAAACAGGAUUAGAUACCCCCGUAA